UGGGGAAUUUUGGACUAUGGGCGAAAGCCUGAUCCAGCCAUGCCGCGUGAGUGAAGAAGGCCUUCGGGUUGUAAAGCUCUUUUAGUCGGAAAGAAAGAGUCGCAAUGAAUAAUUGUGAUUUAUGACGGUACCGACAGAAAAAGCACCGGCUAACUACGUGCCAGCAGCCGCGGUAAUACGUAGGAUGCAAGCGUUAAUCGGAAUUACUGGGCGUAAAGGGUGCGCAGGCGGUUUUGCAAGUCAGAUGUGAAAGCCCCGGGCUUAACCUGGGAAUUGCGUUUGAAACUACAAGGCUAGAGUGCAGCAGAGGAAAGUGGAAUUCCAUGUGUAGCAGUGAAAUGCAUAGAGAUGUGGAAGAACACCGAUGGCGAAGACAGCUCCCUGGGUUGACACUGACGCUCA
This 402-nucleotide ribosomal RNA is filed under the name uncultured bacterium. Its description in RNAcentral is "bacterial SSU rRNA". It matches the Rfam family "Bacterial small subunit ribosomal RNA", at positions 355 to 749 of the family's 1533-position model. The record is from RNAcentral.